This 428-nucleotide ribosomal RNA is filed under the name uncultured bacterium. Its description in RNAcentral is "bacterial SSU rRNA". It matches the Rfam family "Bacterial small subunit ribosomal RNA", at positions 357 to 777 of the family's 1533-position model. The record is from RNAcentral.
GGGAAUUUUGGACAAUGGGCGAAAGCCUGAUCCAGCAAUGCCGCGUGUGUGAAGAAGGCCUUCGGGUUGUAAAGCACUUUUGUCCGGAAAGAAAUCCUCUGGGUUAAUACCUCGGGGGGAUGACGGUACCGGAAGAAUAAGCACCGGCUAACUACGUGCCAGCAGCCGCGGUAAUACGUAGGGUGCAAGCGUUAAUCGGAAUUACUGGGCGUAAAGCGUGCGCAGGCGGUUUUGUAAGACGGAUGUGAAAUCCCCGGGCUUAACCUGGGAACUGCAUUCGUGACUGCAAGGCUAGAGUAUGGCAGAGGGGGGUAGAAUUCCACGUGUAGCAGUGAAAUGCGUAGAGAUGUGGAGGAAUACCGAUGGCGAAGGCAGCCCCCUGGGCCAAUACUGACGCUCAUGCACGAAAGCGUGGGGAGCAAACAGGA